Long non-coding RNA from Wasmannia auropunctata (little fire ant), 227 nucleotides. RefSeq lists it as uncharacterized. NCBI's taxonomy places the organism in Eukaryota, Metazoa, Arthropoda, Insecta, Hymenoptera, Formicidae. The record is from RefSeq and is a predicted model, not a curated record. The transcript has 3 exons.
CGUUCAAGCUGUAAACGCACUGCAGAAGUUAAAAAGUAUUUAUUUAUCUAGAUUUGUAAAAAUGUACAUAUAUAUUUUUGACAAUGUGUUUUUUCUCACUGCUUUGGGACGUGAACAAAAACAAAAAAUAAAUUUGUUAUAUUCUUUUGUAGAUGAGAUGAUACAGCAGCGCAAGGAUGAAUUAAAUGAUGUGAAUACAACUACGGAUGAAGAAAAGCGAACUCGUA